UUGACCUCGAAUCAGGUGGGACUACCCGCUGAACUUAAGCAUAUCAAUAAGCGGAGGAAAAGAAACUAACAAGGAUUCCCCUAGUAACGGCGAGUGAAGCGGGAAGAGCUCAAAUUUAAAAUCUGGCAAUCUUUGGUUGUCCGAAUUGUAAUCUAGAGAAGCGUUUUCCGUGCUGGACUGUGUACAAGUUUCCUGGAUACGGAACAUCAUAGAGGGUGAGAAUCCCGUCCUUGACACAGACCCCCAGUACUUUGUGAUGCGCUCUCGACGAGUCGAGUUGUCUGGGAUUGCAGCUCAAAAUGGGAGGU
Molecule: ribosomal RNA, 308 nt
Filed under: Clavulina cinerea
Lineage: Eukaryota; Fungi; Basidiomycota; Agaricomycetes; Cantharellales; Hydnaceae
Description: eukaryotic LSU rRNA
Rfam family: Eukaryotic large subunit ribosomal RNA
Source: RNAcentral